RNAcentral lists this transfer RNA (83 nucleotides) under Duganella sp. HH101. RNAcentral describes it as "tRNA-Arg". RNAcentral also lists the same sequence under 1 other name. The record is from RNAcentral. Lineage: Bacteria; Pseudomonadati; Pseudomonadota; Betaproteobacteria; Burkholderiales; Oxalobacteraceae.
CGCCGCGCUGGCGGAGAUGAAGUGCUGCGCCGACAGCUCCUGGCUGCGGCGGAACUGGCGUUCCAGGUCUGCCAGCGUGGCGU